Molecule: microRNA precursor, 109 nt
Filed under: Olea europaea subsp. europaea
Lineage: Eukaryota; Viridiplantae; Streptophyta; Magnoliopsida; Lamiales; Oleaceae
Source: RNAcentral
AGUGUCACGGAGCAGCUUGCUCCGUGACACUCUCUAGCGAUAUUUUUUUUUUUUUUUUUUUAGUUUUAGUAAUAUGAGAGUGUCACGGAGCAAGCUGCUCCGUGACACU